CCUACGGGAGGCAGCAGUGGGGAAUAUUGCACAAUGGGCGCAAGCCUGAUGCAGCCAUGCCGCGUGUAUGAAGAAGGCCUUCGGGUUGUAAAGUACUUUCAGCGGGGAGGAAGGUGUCGUGGUUAAUAACCACAACAAUUGACGUUACCCGCAGAAGAAGCACCGGCUAACUCCGUGCCAGCAGCCGCGGUAAUACGGAGGGUGCAAGCGUUAAUCGGAAUUACUGGGCGUAAAGCGCACGCAGGCGGUCUGUCAAGUCGGAUGUGGAAUCCCCGGGCUCAACCUGGGAACUGCAUUCGUAACUGGCAGGCUGGAGUCUCGUAGAGGGGGGUAGAAUUCCAGGUGUAGCGGUGAAAUGCGUAGAGAUCUGGAGGAAUACCGGUGGCGAAGGCGGCCCCCUGGACAAAGACUGACGCUCAGGUGCGAAAGCGUGGGGAGCAAACAGGAUUAGAUACCCCUGUAGUC
This 465-nucleotide ribosomal RNA is filed under the name uncultured bacterium. RNAcentral describes it as "bacterial SSU rRNA". It matches the Rfam family "Bacterial small subunit ribosomal RNA", at positions 338 to 795 of the family's 1533-position model. The record is from RNAcentral.